AGCCUUCGGGCUAGUGGCGGACGGGUGAGUAACGCGUGGGAAUCUGCCCUCAGGAGGGGGAUAACGGCCGGAAACGGCCGCUAAUACCCCAUAUGCCGAGAGGUGAAAUGAAUUUCGCCUGAGGAUGAGCCCGCGUCUGAUUAGCUAGUUGGUGGGGUAAUGGCCCACCAAGGCGACGAUCAGUAGCUGGUCUGAGAGGAUGAUCAGCCACACUGGGACUGAGACACGGCCCAGACUCCUACGGGAGGCAGCAGUGGGGAAUUUUCCGCAAUGGGCGAAAGCCUGACGGAGCAACGCCGCGUGAGGGAUGAAGGCCUCUGGGCUGUAAACCUCUUUUCUCAAGGAAGAAGACAUGACGGUACUUGAGGAAUAAGCCACGGCUAAUUCCGUGCCAGCAGCCGCGGUAAUACGGGAGUGGCAAGCGUUAUCCGGAAUUAUUGGGCGUAAAGCGUCCGCAGGCGGCCUUGUAAGUCUGUCGUUAAAGCGUGGAGCUUAACUCCAUUUCAGCGAUGGAAACUACAAGGCUUGAGUGUGGUAGGGGCAGAGGGAAUUCCCGGUGUAGCGGUGAAAUGCGUAGAUAUCGGGAAGAACACCAGUGGCGAAGGCGCUCUGCUGGGCCAUAACUGACGCUCAUGGACGAAAGCCAGGGGAGCGAAAGGGAUUAGAUACCCCUGUAGUCCUGGCCGUAAACGAUGAACACUAGGUGUCGGGGGAAUCGACCCCCUCGGUGUCGUAGCUAACGCGUUAAGUGUUCCGCCUGGGGAGUACGCACGCAAGUGUGAAACUCAAAGGAAUUGACGGGGGCCCGCACAAGCGGUGGAGUAUGUGGUUUAAUUCGAUGCAACGCGAAGAACCUUACCAGGGUUUGACAUCCUGCGAAUCCCUUGGAAACGAGGGAGUGCCUUCGGGAGCGCAGAGACAGGUGGUGCAUGGCUGUCGUCAGCUCGUGUCGUGAGAUGUGGGUUAAGUCCGCAACGAGCGCAACCCACGUCUUAGUUGCCAGCAUUCAGUUGGGCACUCUAGAAAGACCGCGGUGAUAACCGGAGGAGGGGGUGGAAUGACGUCAGUCAUCAUGCCAUACAUCCUGGGCUACACACGUACUACAAUGCUACGGACAAAGGGUUGCAAGCUCGCGAGAGUUAGCUAAUCCCAUAAACCGUGGCUCAGUUCAGAUCGUAGGCUGCAACUCGCCUACGUGAAGGAGGAAUCGCUAGUAAUCGCAGGUCAGCAUACUGCGGUGAAUACGUUCCCGGGCCUUGUACACACCGCCCGUCACACCAUGGAAGUUGGCCAUGCCCGAAGUCGUUACUCCAACCCUUGUGGAGGAGGACGCCGAAGGUGGGGCUGAUGACUGGGGUGAAGUCGUACAAGGUAGCCGUACCGGAAGGUGCGGCUGGAUCACCUCCUAACAGGGAGACACAACUGAUCGUGAUGUCUGAGCGCCGACCAAGCGUAAGUUUGGGAAGCACUUGUCUCAGGCCACGGUCCUGUCAUCUCGAAGGUCGAUCGGUACCUCAAGG
This 1520-nucleotide ribosomal RNA is filed under the name Synechococcus sp. TAU-MAC 0499. RNAcentral's name for it is "bacterial SSU rRNA". It matches the Rfam family "Bacterial small subunit ribosomal RNA". The record is from RNAcentral. Lineage: Bacteria; Bacillati; Cyanobacteriota; Cyanophyceae; Synechococcales; Synechococcaceae.